Molecule: transfer RNA, 76 nt
Filed under: Bifidobacterium animalis
Lineage: Bacteria; Bacillati; Actinomycetota; Actinomycetes; Bifidobacteriales; Bifidobacteriaceae
Also listed under: 15 other names
Description: tRNA-Leu
Rfam family: tRNA
About the family: Transfer RNA (tRNA) molecules are approximately 80 nucleotides in length. Their secondary structure includes four short double-helical elements and three loops (D, anti-codon, and T loops).
Source: RNAcentral
GCCCCUGUAUCCCAAUUGGUAGAGGAGACAGCCUCAAAAUCUGUACAGUGUGGGUUCGAGUCCCACCGGGGGCACC